AAGGGUGCCGCGCAUGUGGUGCGGUUAAGAGGAAACCGUGUGAGAAUCACGGGCUGUCGCGCAACUGUAUGUCCGCAAAGUUCCUGUGCAUAAAGUCAUUGGGUUUAACGACCUGAGAAGGCGCACAGGGGAACAAGCCAGGAAGCCUGCCUUUC
This 155-nucleotide non-coding RNA is filed under the name bovine gut metagenome. The record is from RNAcentral.